UAUCAGUACGGUAUCAGUCUUCUUCCUGCUAACCCAAUGUUUACAGCUGCUAUGAUAGGCGGCAGCAGGAUGGACUUCCACAGUGCUGUCGGUCUACGUGCUUCUAAACUAGCUGUUGCUUGGCACUGGCUACAGCCCUGCAGCCCUCCUCCGCUGUGUGUUACAGCUCUUAGCAGCGGGAAGGCACCCAGGAACCGAGCACUCUCCGAGGGAUCUCCAGGCUACCUGAUCAGCGCAAAUGAGCCUCUUUUAUAUCCCUAAACAGACGGGCUUGUGCUGAUCAGUAGUUUCUAAUUGGUCCUCCCACCACCACUACAACCAAUAACUGUCCCUUGCUGUGUGCGGCUCGUGGUCAGCGCGAGGAUACUCGUUUUGAUUCCCUGCAGCUCAUUACUCUGCCAGCACGCGAUUAGCAUGAGGGCCCACUUUGCCGCCAUGCAGACCAUCACUACAGCAGCUUGCAAUCACUGCAGCAUGAGGGACCAAUUAAAAUGUCAUACUACCAGACUCCAGUACGCUGAAGUCACAUGGGCAUGAUGGGGCACAGCACGGAUGCCGGCGCCGAAAUUCUGGAGGUGGACUUUUGCACUGCUUGUUUGGGAUAUAAUCACUCUCCCACGACAAGUCCCAGGAGCCAGCAAAUGCCUAUGAUGUCAGCAGGUCUACGGACUGUGCGGCGGUGGCGGGAGAUUGAUGCACGUGUGUUUUUUCUUCAGGGAUUAACACAAAAUGAUGCUUGGGGCUACUAACUAGCCAAGGACAGUUGCCCUUGGGAGAAGUUGCUGGUCCUGAGAUCUACUCUUACAACCGUCCUGUGCGUUUGCCCUUGCAACUUGUUGAUUGUCAUAGAGAAGCAGACACUUACAGGAUAUUGCAGGCACUUGAAUUGAAAAGGAGAAUUGUUGGGGAUAAGGGGUAUACCUGGUAUACAUGGAGCACCUCACCUGUGCCAGAUCCCAUUAAUUAGGUUUCUCUGUAGAGCAUUCUCUUUAAGUCUGGUUCUGUUAAAUAAGUUGGGCAAAGUAAAGUCCGGCAAGAAGCAUGAUGGGAAUACCAACUUUCAGUGCGUGGAGUGUCAAGUUCUGUUUUUUUCUUUAUUGCACCUCUCCCUGAUGUCAUACAUACCUCAGUUUCUUUUUAGCUCACUAAGCUAUACAAUAGUGAAAACGCAAUCCAAAUUCAUCCAGUACUUUUUGCGUGAAUCGGGAAAUGAUCUUAUAUACAGAGAAAAAAUCAGAUUUUUUUUUUUACAUCUCCAUAGUUCAUAAACAGCCCAAAAAGUCUUUUUCUCACAAAAAAACCUUCAUAUGUACAGACACAACCCUUACAGUUUUAUUAUAUGUAUAGAUAGCUGCCUGUUGCAGUAUUUAAAAAAUAAAGUUUUACUGUGAAAUAA
Long non-coding RNA from Pseudophryne corroboree (corroboree frog), 1396 nucleotides. RefSeq lists it as uncharacterized. The record is from RefSeq and is a predicted model, not a curated record. Lineage: Eukaryota; Metazoa; Chordata; Amphibia; Anura; Myobatrachidae. The transcript has 4 exons.